RNAcentral lists this ribosomal RNA (497 nucleotides) under uncultured bacterium. Its description in RNAcentral is "partial 16S ribosomal RNA". It matches the Rfam family "Bacterial small subunit ribosomal RNA", at positions 28 to 507 of the family's 1533-position model. The record is from RNAcentral.
GACGAACGCUGGCGGCGUGCCUAAUACAUGCCAGUUGAGCGCUGAAGGUUGGUACUUGUACCAACUGGAUGAGCAGCAAACGGGUGAGUAACGCGUGGGGAAUCUGCCUUUGAGCGGGGGACAACAUUUGGAAACGAAUGCUAAUACCGCAUAAAAACUUUAAACACAAGUUCUAAGUUUGAAAGAUGCAAUUGCAUCACUCAAAGAUGAUCCCGCGUUGUAUUAGCUAGUUGGUGAGGUAAAGGCUCACCAAGGCGAUGAUACAUAGCCGACCUGAGAGGGUGAUCGGCCACAUUGGGACUGAGACACGGCCCAAAGGCCUACGGGAGGCAGCAGUAGGGAAUCUUCGGCAAUGGACGAAAGUCUGACCGAGCAACGCCGCGUGAGUGAAGAAGGUUUUCGGAUCGUAAAACUCUGUUGGUAGAGAAGAACGUUGGUGAGAGUGGAAAGCUCAUCAAGUGACGGUAACUACCCAGAAAGGGACGGCUAACUACGUG